This 92-nucleotide microRNA precursor is filed under the name Columba livia (rock pigeon). RNAcentral describes it as "microRNA cli-mir-9 precursor (cli-mir-9-3)". Its record names the gene cli-mir-9-3. The stretch from base 9 to 84 matches the Rfam family "mir-9/mir-79 microRNA precursor family". From Rfam's summary of the family: The mature ~21nt miRNAs are processed from hairpin precursor sequences represented here. miR-9 is processed from the 5' arm of its precursor, and miR-79 from the 3' arm. The record is from miRBase by way of RNAcentral. Lineage: Eukaryota; Metazoa; Chordata; Aves; Columbiformes; Columbidae.
ACCUGGGUUGGUUUUUCUCUUUGGUUAUCUAGCUGUAUGAGUGUAUGUGAUAUCAUAAAGCUAGAGAACCGAAUGUAAAAACCCGCUCGCUG